ACGGAUAUAGUAUAGCGGUUAGUACUGCUAUCUUCCACAUAGUAAGCGAGAGUUCGAUUCUCUCUGUCCGUA
Molecule: transfer RNA, 72 nt
Filed under: Sphingobacteriaceae bacterium
Lineage: Bacteria; Pseudomonadati; Bacteroidota; Sphingobacteriia; Sphingobacteriales; Sphingobacteriaceae
Description: tRNA-Gly
Rfam family: tRNA
About the family: Transfer RNA (tRNA) molecules are approximately 80 nucleotides in length. Their secondary structure includes four short double-helical elements and three loops (D, anti-codon, and T loops). Further hydrogen bonds mediate the characteristic L-shaped molecular structure. tRNAs have two regions of fundamental functional importance: the anti-codon, which is responsible for specific mRNA codon recognition, and the 3' end, to which the tRNAs corresponding amino acid is attached (by aminoacyl-tRNA synthetases). tRNAs cope with the degeneracy of the genetic code in two manners: having more than one tRNA (with a specific anti-codon) for a particular amino acid; and 'wobble' base-pairing, i.e. permitting non-standard base-pairing at the 3rd anti-codon position.
Source: RNAcentral